CAGUAGCCGCGGUAAUACGGAAGGUCCAGGCGUUAUCCGGAUUUAUUGGGUUUAAAGGGAGUGUAGGCGGUCUGUUAAGCGUGUUGUGAAAUUUAGGUGCUCAACAUUUAACUUGCAGCGCGAACUGGCGGACUUGAGUGCACGCAACGUAUGCGGAAUUCAUGGUGUAGCGGUGAAAUGCUUAGAUAUCAUGACGAACUCCGAUUGCGAAGGCAGCGUACGGGAGUGUUACUGACGCUUAAGCUCGAAGGUGCGGGUAUCGAACAGGAUUAGAUACCCCCGUAGUCCCUGUCUCUUAUAC
RNAcentral lists this ribosomal RNA (301 nucleotides) under uncultured bacterium. Its description in RNAcentral is "partial 16S ribosomal RNA". It matches the Rfam family "Bacterial small subunit ribosomal RNA", at positions 509 to 807 of the family's 1533-position model. The record is from RNAcentral.